AUGCUGGAUCUCCCGGAUUAUCUAAUACCAAGAUUAAAGAUGCGAUUCCAGAAUGUAGAGAAAGCAAGGGAAUUUUACAACAGAUAUGCCAGACACGCUGGUUUUGGAAUCAGGAAGAUAGGAGGGACUGACAAUCACAAGUAUUUUGUUUGUGCGUUCCAAGAGAAACACACAACUUCUGUUUCAUAGGUUGUCAGGAAGCGAAACAAAACAUCACAGAGGACAAGCUGCAAUGCAAGAAUGAGGGUGAAGGUGCAGGAGGAUAACACAUGUGUGUUAGUGGACAUUGAGUACAAUCAUAAUCACCACCUCAUGCAAACUGAUGACAUGCUGGUAUUCUUGCACUCACACAAGAAUUAUGACCCCACUAUUUUGGAGUACGUAAAGCUCUUGCAGUACCAUGAUGUCAAAUAUACAACAAUCAUGUCCAUGCUAUCCUAAAAUGAAGAUGGAAGCUACUUCCUAAGCAUGACCGGACGAGACAACUACUGCAGGAAAGCCAUGAAUGCAAGGAAAGAUGAUUUGGGUGAUGUAUUGAAACUUGUAUAUUUCUUUAAAGACAUGAAGGCAAUCAAUGAUGAGUUUUUCUAUGACAUACAAGUAGACAACGACAAAUCAAUUAACAUUUUCUGGUCUAAUACAAGCUGCCGAGGAGCGUAUCAAGACUUUGGCGAUUGCGUAAUAUUCAACACCAGUUACAAGACCAACAAAUUUCAUAUGCCUCUGGGAGUGUUUGUUGGAACAAACCAUCAUUUGCAGUCAACAAUAUUUGUUGUUGCCUUGAUCAAAGAUGAAAAUGCAAAGUCAUUCAAGUGGUUGUUCGAUACAUUUGUACGGUGGAUGAACAACAAACACCCAACUUGCAUUCUAACAAACCAGUGCCCGUCAAUGGCAAAAGCUGUACCACAAUCAUGCCCAAAUACCAUCCACAAGCUAUGCCAUUGGCACAUCCUGAAGAAGUUCAAGGAAUACCUCGCGUUGCUAUAUAAAAAGUAUAAAACAUUCAAAAAGGAGUUCACAACUAUCUUAAACUGGCCGCUAAUGCCAACGGAGUUUGAAGCUUCCUGGGCUACACUCGUGCAGAAGUACAACCUACAAAAUGACCAGAUGAUGAUACAACUAUGGAGUGAUAAGAAACUGUGGAUAUUAGCAUAUUACAAGAACAUUACUGUACUAGAAUGA
Molecule: ribosomal RNA, 1182 nt
Filed under: Triticum aestivum (bread wheat)
Lineage: Eukaryota; Viridiplantae; Streptophyta; Magnoliopsida; Poales; Poaceae
Description: partial small subunit ribosomal RNA
Source: RNAcentral